UCCCGCCCCCUCCAGGUGACGUUUAACACGAAACAAACCAGAAACAGUUGAGUGCUGCACGUUUAGAAACUAGUUCAACUAAAUUAAGUGUUAGAAGAUAACUCUGUUCAUGAAUUAUAAGCGUAAUACACAUAAACGACACUUAUGUAAAGUAAAAUAGGUGAUUCGAGGACCUGUGCGCCAGGAGUUGAUCGCUUUUUGGCAGCUUCUUGGUUUUGAGAUUCCCUGGAGAUUUUGGAUUCUCCUUGACGAAGGAGAUGUCGAGCCAACCUAGAACCCGAUCACCUCUUUACCCAGAGGAGUUGGACCAAGUCCACUUUUUGCCCCGAGGAGGAGAGGACACCACCCAUUCCUUCAUUCCCAUCACUUCAGUACAUCAGUGGGGAAGAAGGAGGCAGAAGGAGAGAAAGGCUCGAUCCAGUGAAAGACGGCAGACAGUGAAGGAGGUGAUGGAGGAGGAGAGCGAUAUUUGUGACUCUCUAGCCUGAUUAAGACCACUCCAGUCUGGGUGGUGCUACUUCACACCAGCAGCAGUGGCCUUCAACGGAAGAGGGAGGACUGGAGUGAAAACACUUGAGGAGCAGCUGGAGAACCACAUGGAGGCUCAUCAGAAGCAGGUCAGCCGCCUCUGAGGAAAGAUAUAAGACAAGCAGAGGAUGCUGGACGAACUCAGUUCUCCCUGCCCCCCCAGCCUCUUCAUCGCCUCUCAUGUAGGAAGAAAAGAUGUUUCUUUGUAAGGACUCACUGGCACUACUUCCACUGACUCACGCAGCUGCCCCAAUAGAGCUCUCCUCCCUCUGAUUUACAGCCAGUAGUGGUAUUAUAGGUUUCUAGUUGUUUUCCAGAGUUAUUUACUGGCACUUUCAAUCCAUCGGCCUGUGUUUCUGCAAUUUGUGGAGAGAUGUUUUUACUGUUUUAACCCUGAUAUUUGGAUUUGCUACCCAUCCAGAAGAAGGCUCAGGCUGCUAUGUCCUCUCGCCUGUUUUGUUGGUUGCUGGUUCCUAAAAUUACGACUUUAUUCUCGUAAUAUUACGACUUUUUUCUUGUUAAGUUACAUUUCGUAAUAGAACAUUUACUCUUUGGCCCUCACUGCAUUAGACUUAUAU
Sebastes umbrosus (honeycomb rockfish) is the source of this 1106-nucleotide long non-coding RNA. RefSeq lists it as uncharacterized. Lineage: Eukaryota; Metazoa; Chordata; Actinopteri; Perciformes; Sebastidae. The record is from RefSeq and is a predicted model, not a curated record. The transcript is spliced from 5 exons.